RNAcentral lists this ribosomal RNA (464 nucleotides) under uncultured bacterium. Its description in RNAcentral is "partial 16S ribosomal RNA". It matches the Rfam family "Bacterial small subunit ribosomal RNA", at positions 339 to 795 of the family's 1533-position model. The record is from RNAcentral.
CUACGGGCGGCUGCAGUGGGGAAUAUUGCACAAUGGGCGCAAGCCUGAUGCAGCCAUGCCGCGUGUAUGAAGAAGGCCUUCGGGUUGUAAAGUACUUUCAGCGGGGAGGAGGGGAGUAAAGUUAAUACCUUUGCCCAUUGACGUUACCCGCAGAAGAAGCACCGGCUAACUCCGUGCCAGCAGCCGCGGUAAUACGGAGGGUGCAAGCGUUAAUCGGAAUUACUGGGCGUAAAGCGCACGCAGGCGGUUUGUUAAGUCAGAUGUGAAAUCCCCGGGCUCAACCUGGGAACUGCAUCUGAUACUGGCAAGCUUGAGUCUCGUAGAGGGGGGUAGAAUUCCAGGUGUAGCGGUGAAAUGCGUAGAGAUCUGGAGGAAUACCGGUGGCGAAGGCGGCCCCCUGGACGAAGACUGACGCUCAGGUGCGAAAGCGUGGGGAGCAAACAGGAUUAGAUACCCUUGUAGUC